CGCAGUCGCUUCGGCUAGCCUGCGAGUCUCAGAGGAAAAAGGGGUUCCAGAAGUGCGUCCCCCGGGCCGCUCACCCGGCCCUGCAAUUGUGGGGGGAAGAGAAUAGAGGAGUGAAGAAGGGUGCAUUUUCCAUCUCACCUCGGUCCUCGGAUAGGAAAACCACGUAGCCCUGACCAGUGGGCUCAAAGCCCUGCUGGAAACUGGUUCGGAGUGUAUAUGUCUCAGCUUGAGAUGAGAAAAUGAGAACAAGUAACAAGCAUAUUUUUUCAACUCUUUCAGGAUCUUUGUUCCCCCACUAGGGAUUGAACCUGGACCCCAGCAGUGAAAGCACCGAGUCCCAACCACUGGACCUCCAGGUAAAAUUGGUUUUCAAAUCUGCUAAUUGGUGAAAAGAGAUCAACUUCUCUCUCAAGUUACAGAAGCAGAAAUUCAACUGGUCCUUACUAAUGAAAGAUCUUCAGUGAAGGUUGAAAGCCCUUCAGAUCAAUCGUACCACACUUUGAGCUCCUCUGGCCUCCGUGGUUCCCUCAUCUGUGCUCAUGGCUCACAGGUGUGCAGGACUCACCGAGGACAAAAAUGGUUACUUAACCACGCAGUUGAAAUAUCCUUUCUAUGGAAGGUUAAAAAUCCCAGGAAGUCUGUGGGACUGGCUUUUGGAGUAUAGCUAUGAGUAAAAUAUUCUCUAGAUU
Molecule: long non-coding RNA, 689 nt
Organism: Eubalaena glacialis (North Atlantic right whale)
Lineage: Eukaryota; Metazoa; Chordata; Mammalia; Artiodactyla; Balaenidae
Exons: 4
Source: RefSeq, a predicted model, not a curated record